UCAUUAGUUUUUUAAUUGAAAGCUUGUAUGAAUGGUUUGAUGAGAAAAUAGCUUUUUUUAUUUUAAUUUUUAAGAAUUUUAUUUUUAAGUUAAAAAGCUUAAAUUUUUAUAAUAGACGAGAAGACCCUAUAGAGUUUAAUUAUUAAUUAUUUUUAUAUUUUUAGAAUUUUAAUUUAUAAAUUUAAUUUAAUAAUUUAAUUGGGGUGAUUGAAAAAUUAAAUUAACUUUUUCUUUAUUUUUACAUUGAUGUAUGAUUUUAUGAUCCAUAAAAAUGAUUAAAAGAUUAAAUUACCUUAGGGAUAACAGCGUUAUUUUUUUUUAGAGUUCAAAUCGAAAAAAGAGAUUGCGACCUCGAUGUUGGAUUAAAGUUUAUAUUAGGAGGAGAAUUUUAAU
RNAcentral lists this ribosomal RNA (393 nucleotides) under Cheilomenes sexmaculata. RNAcentral describes it as "partial 16S ribosomal RNA". The record is from RNAcentral. Lineage: Eukaryota; Metazoa; Arthropoda; Insecta; Coleoptera; Coccinellidae.